CUCACCACGUCCAUUCACGAUCAGUGGACUGAUUUCAUACUAUGUCACUAACUAUAUAUACCAAGUAAGCUAACAUGGGUUAUCUAUAGCCAUGAUAUCCACAUAUCAUAACACUCAAACGCAUACUAAAUAAGAUCUUUUAAGCAAAUUUAUUUUCAGAAUAUUCAAAGCAAAGGAAUAUGUUUUAAUUUACUUUUGUACAAGCCAGA
RNAcentral lists this long non-coding RNA (209 nucleotides) under Elaeis guineensis (African oil palm). Its description in RNAcentral is "long non-coding RNA (EGUI_LNC029694)". Lineage: Eukaryota; Viridiplantae; Streptophyta; Magnoliopsida; Arecales; Arecaceae. The record is from RNAcentral.